UGAAAAUCAAAUGAUGAGCCAUGCUGGGC
This 29-nucleotide non-coding RNA is filed under the name Homo sapiens (human). Lineage: Eukaryota; Metazoa; Chordata; Mammalia; Primates; Hominidae. The record is from RNAcentral.